This 85-nucleotide transfer RNA is filed under the name Verrucomicrobiales bacterium. RNAcentral's name for it is "tRNA-Ser". It matches the Rfam family "tRNA". From Rfam's summary of the family: Transfer RNA (tRNA) molecules are approximately 80 nucleotides in length. Their secondary structure includes four short double-helical elements and three loops (D, anti-codon, and T loops). Lineage: Bacteria; Pseudomonadati; Verrucomicrobiota; Verrucomicrobiia; Verrucomicrobiales. The record is from RNAcentral.
GGAAAGGUGGCAGAGUGGUUGAAUGCAUCAGUCUUGAAAACUGACGAUGUGAGAGCAUCCGUGGGUUCAAAUCCCACCCUUUCCG